CAUCCGUUUAUCUUCCCCUGACAAAAAA
RNAcentral lists this small RNA (28 nucleotides) under Bombyx mori (domestic silkworm). Its description in RNAcentral is "ovarian small RNA-13405". The record is from RNAcentral. Lineage: Eukaryota; Metazoa; Arthropoda; Insecta; Lepidoptera; Bombycidae.